UUGGACAGCCAUGCCACCCUGAAUGUGCCUGAUCUCGUCUGAUUUUGGAAGCUAAGCAGGGUUGGGCCUGGUUAGUACUUGGAUGGCAGACCACCUAGGAAGACCAGGUGUUGUAGGCA
Molecule: ribosomal RNA, 119 nt
Filed under: Pteropus alecto (black flying fox)
Lineage: Eukaryota; Metazoa; Chordata; Mammalia; Chiroptera; Pteropodidae
Also listed under: 1 other name
Source: RNAcentral